This 175-nucleotide ribosomal RNA is filed under the name uncultured bacterium. RNAcentral describes it as "partial 16S ribosomal RNA". It matches the Rfam family "Bacterial small subunit ribosomal RNA", at positions 355 to 511 of the family's 1533-position model. The record is from RNAcentral.
UAGGGAAUCUUCCACAAUGGACGAAAGUCUGAUGGAGCAACGCCGCGUGAGUGAAGAAGGGUUUCGGCUCGUAAAACUCUGUUGUUAAAGAAGAACAUAUCUGAGAGUAACUGGGGGGGGGGGGUUCAGGUAUUGACGGUAUUUAACCAGAAAGCCACGGCUAACUACGUGCCAG